Molecule: ribosomal RNA, 254 nt
Filed under: uncultured bacterium
Lineage: Bacteria
Description: partial 16S ribosomal RNA
Rfam family: Bacterial small subunit ribosomal RNA
Source: RNAcentral
UACGUAGGGUGCGAGCGUUGUCCGGAAUUAUUGGGCGUAAAGAGCUCGUAGGCGGUCUGUCGCGUCGGUCGUGAAAACUUGGGGCUUAACCCUGAGCUUGCGGUCGAUACGGGCAUGACUGGAGUUCGGCAGGGGAGACUGGAAUUCCUGGUGUAGCGGUGAAAUGCGCAGAUAUCAGGAGGAACACCGGUGGCGAAGGCGGGUCUCUGGGCCGAUACUGACGCUGAGGAGCAAAAGCGUGGGGAGCGAACAGG